UUCUCCCGGAGGCGCAUGAUGUCCUCGGCCAGGUUGUCGCGCUCCACCUCGACGCGGGCUUUGUCGUUGGUUAGCUGGUCCACCUGCCGGCGCAGCUCCCGCAUCUCCUCCUCGUAGAGGUCCCCCAGGCGCGACUUGCCCUGGCCCUUGAGCUGCUCGAGCUCGGCCAGCAGGAUCUUAUUCUGCUGCUCCAGGAAGCGCACCUUGUCGAUGUAGUUGGCGAAGCGGUCAUUCAGCUCCUGCAGCUCCACCUUCUCGUUGGUGCGGGUGUUCUUGAACUCGGUGUUGAUGGCGUCGGCCAGCGAGAAGUCCACCGAGUCCUGCAGGAGCCGCACCCCGGGCACGCUGCUCCGCAGGCGCACGGCAGAGGAGCGCGUGGCAUACACGCCUCCCGGGGACGAGGCAUAGAGGCUGCGGCUGGUGCUGGGGCGCAGCGCGCUGCCCAGGCUGUAGGUGCGGGUGGACGUAGUCACGUAGCUCCGGCUGGAGCUCGGCCGGCUCGCGGUGCCCGGGCCGCCGAACAUCCUGCGGUAGGAGGACGAGGACACGGACCUGGUGGACAUGGCUGCGGAGGGUGGCGAUGGGCUGGGCGGCGGCGGUGGCGCGGACUGGCUCCCGGAGAAGAGGCGAACGAGGGCGCGACAGCAAAGCUCCCUUUGGAUGACAUAGAUUUAUUACUUAGUAGUAUAUCAUGUACUGGCUGUCCCACAUUUUGAAAUUUAAUGGACUCGUGGUGAUCAGAAUAAAAGAAGCCUUCGAUGUGAGGCCCAGGCAUUAAGUACCAUGUGUGUGAUUCACGAGCCUUGGCAUCUGAACAAUUUUUUGGAAGGAUCCAUCAGGACAACACGUCGGGGGUGUACUAGUGAAGUGAUUUUCAAAAUGUGCUACUCAGACCUGUAGCAUCAGCAUUACCGGAUA
This 918-nucleotide non-coding RNA is filed under the name Pan troglodytes (chimpanzee). The record is from RNAcentral. Lineage: Eukaryota; Metazoa; Chordata; Mammalia; Primates; Hominidae.